UGCUAUUCUGCCUUGAUGUGCACAUAAAGAGUUCCUGGACCUGACAUGAAGCAAGGAUACCUAUGGCUGCAAGCCAACAAUAUCUGAAGACAGGUGUUGCUUGUCUAUGUUCUCAGCAUAGCUAUAGGCUGCCAUGUCUUUUUCACUUUCCUUUUCGCUUUGUGUAAUGCUAACUUGAUGGUCAGCCUAUAGUUAUGCGAAGAACAUCGGCAAGCAGCACCUGUCUUCAGACAUACAAUGCCAUGUCUUGUUCCAUUAAUCACCUAGUGCUCCUGUUAGUGACAUUCAUCUAGUAUUUUAUUUUGCAAAGCAUGCAAUGGUUUGGAGUACUUGAUCAUGGCCUGAUGGAACCUACAUGUCAUUACUACAACAACUAGAAGCAAUCCAUUUUAUUAAAAGCAUUCUGGUUAGCAUUUGGUCAUGGCAUCACCUUGCUGUUCUGUUUGUUUUAAAUCUGGUUACAAGUUUACUAUUUUCCAUAACCAUUAUCUUACAUUUUUGGCAUUGAGCGUUGGUGGAUCUCAACAACUAUAUGAUGAAUACACAUCAUGAUAUAUACUUGAUGAAUCUGCCUGCUACAUCUCAACUUGUGUAUCUGUUUUGGUAUCUCUUGCGCUGUGUAUCUGUUUUCUUGUAUGAGUGGGUAUCUCAUUUUAACUAGUUGGAGAACAAAAAGCAUGGUACUAGCUAGCUCAAUUUGUGUUAUCAUUCUAAACAAAUGUCAUUUUCUUGAAUGGUCUGUUCAUAAUAUAUUUUCAUGUCAAGUUUCGCCAGCGCGAGGCAAGCGACCGAGGUGGCUGCUGCUGUGACCGAAGAUUAGAAGAAGCUUGGAGAUGUGCACAAUAGUUUUGGUGCCUCUGUAUUUGUUUCUGAUUGUAUGUACACUUGAUGGAUCAUGCAGAUGUGCUGUUCUGAGUUUCAUAGAGUGAUUUUUGGAUUUGAUCAUUUAAUUGUGAGAAUUAUUGAUUGUUUGCUGUUGAAAUGUGUAAAAUUGAAAUCUGUGAA
Molecule: long non-coding RNA, 1005 nt
Filed under: Triticum aestivum (bread wheat)
Lineage: Eukaryota; Viridiplantae; Streptophyta; Magnoliopsida; Poales; Poaceae
Description: long non-coding RNA (TAES_LNC026681)
Source: RNAcentral